This 475-nucleotide ribosomal RNA is filed under the name uncultured bacterium. RNAcentral's name for it is "bacterial SSU rRNA". It matches the Rfam family "Bacterial small subunit ribosomal RNA", at positions 501 to 983 of the family's 1533-position model. The record is from RNAcentral.
CUACGUGCCAGCAGCCGCGGUAAUACGUAGGUGGCGAGCGUUAUCCGGAAUUAUUGGGCGUAAAGGGUGCGUAGGCGGCCUGUUAAGUAAGUGGUUAAAUUGUUGGGCUCAACCCAAUCCAGCCACUUAAACUGGCAGGCUAGAGUAUUGGAGAGGCAAGUGGAAUUCCAUGUGUAGCGGUAAAAUGCGUAGAUAUAUGGAGGAACACCAGUGGCGAAGGCGGCUUGCUAGCCAAAGACUGACGCUCAUGCACGAAAGCGUGGGGAGCAAAUAGGAUUAGAUACCCUAGUAGUCCACGCCGUAAACGAUGAAUACUAAGUAUUGGGGAAACUCAGUGCUGCAGCUAACGCAAUAAGUAUUCCGCCUGUGGAGUAUGCACGCAAGUGUGAAACAUAAAGGAAUUGACGGGGGCCCGCACAAGCGGUGGAGUAUGUGGUUUAAUUCGACGCAACGCGAAGAACCUUACCAGGCCUUG